This 233-nucleotide ribosomal RNA is filed under the name Clostridioides difficile. RNAcentral's name for it is "partial 23S ribosomal RNA". It matches the Rfam family "Bacterial large subunit ribosomal RNA", at positions 1252 to 1484 of the family's 2925-position model. The record is from RNAcentral. Lineage: Bacteria; Bacillati; Bacillota; Clostridia; Peptostreptococcales; Peptostreptococcaceae.
GAAGCAUGACCGUAAGGACAUGUGGACAGUAUGGGAGUGAGAAUGUUGGCAUGAGUAGCGAGAUGUGGGUGAGAAUCCCACAGGCCGUAACCCCAAGGUUUCCAGGGGAAGGUUCGUCCGCCCUGGGUUAGUCGGGACCUAAGCUGAGGCCGAAAGGCGUAGGUGAUGGACAACAGGUUGAUAUUCCUGUACUACCGAUAACCGUUUGAGAGAAGGGAUGACACAGUAGGAUA